RNAcentral lists this long non-coding RNA (272 nucleotides) under Carica papaya (papaya). RNAcentral's name for it is "long non-coding RNA (CPAP_LNC009908)". Lineage: Eukaryota; Viridiplantae; Streptophyta; Magnoliopsida; Brassicales; Caricaceae. The record is from RNAcentral.
UCACAGAAGUCGCAGGAUUAAGACUUUUGGUUGAAGGCUUCAUAGCAGUCACUUCAGCAGGUGCAACUGGCUUGACAAUAACACUCUCUACGGGUGGAGGUGGUGGUGGAGGGGGAGGGGGAGGAGGUGGUGGUGGAGGUGGAGGUGGAGGUGGAGGCAUCAACAUCAUAUCAAGUCCACUCAUGUCUAUCUCAUGACUCUCCAGCCUUUCCAUUCUCCCUGCUCCUUGUGGAAUCCUGUCUUGCUCCUGCUGCCGCUUUGGAACUGCUCCC